RNAcentral lists this long non-coding RNA (415 nucleotides) under Heterocephalus glaber (naked mole-rat). RNAcentral's name for it is "lncRNA (ENSHGLG00100033339.1)". Lineage: Eukaryota; Metazoa; Chordata; Mammalia; Rodentia; Bathyergidae. The record is from RNAcentral.
GCUGAGAGGGCUUCCCCGUCCUCCCGGGAACCCGGCGCCCCUGCCAGCGCGCACCUGAGCAGCUCCAUGGGACAUGGCCGCCCAGGCCGCCUUGCUGGGGCUCAUCUAGGAGUGGCGUUCCUCAUGUCGCCCUGAAGGCCAGCUCUGGACCUCCCCAGGAAAGUGCCACCUUGCAGAGCUGCUCCUCCGGAGCCCCGACCCUUGGGACACCCUCCAGCCGGCGGCCCCCAGUGGAGUGGGGGCUCCAGGAGGCCAGGCCUGGCUUGCUGACCUUGGACAGCAGCUGCAGGACGGGCCAGAGGGGGAGGCUGCCACCCAGACCCCUCUGGGCCCAGGCCCCAUGCCCCAAGGAGGGGCGGCCUGAAAGCUCCUGCAGCCCGUGCGGGCCUGUCCACCUGCCCUUCUGACUGUGGCU